AUUGAACGCUGGCGGCAGGCCUAACACAUGCCAGUCGAGCGGAUGAAGGGAGCUUGCUCCUGGAUUCAGCGGCGGACGGGUGAGUAAUGCCUAGGAAUCUGCCUGGUAGUGGGGGAUAACGUCCGGAAACGGGCGCUAAUACCGCAUACGUCCUGAGGGAGAAAGUGGGGGAUCUUCGGACCUCACGCUAUCAGAUGAGCCUAGGUCGGAUUAGCUAGUUGGUGGGGUAAAGGCCUACCAAGGCGACGAUCCGUAACUGGUCUGAGAGGAUGAUCAGUCACACGGGACAGGGAACACGGUCCAGACCCCUACGGGAGGCAGACGGGGGGAAAUUUGGAAAAGGGGCGAAAGCCUGAUCCAGCCAUGCCGGGUGGGUGAAGAAGGUCUUCGGAUUGUAAAGCCCUUUAAGUUGGGAGGAAGGGCAGUAAAUUAAUACCUUGCUGUUUGGACGUUACCAACAGAAUAAGCGCCGGCUAACUUCGU
Molecule: ribosomal RNA, 483 nt
Filed under: uncultured bacterium
Lineage: Bacteria
Description: partial 16S ribosomal RNA
Rfam family: Bacterial small subunit ribosomal RNA
Source: RNAcentral